GUGCCAGCAGCCGCGGUAAUACGGAGGAUGCAAGCGUUAUCCGGAAUGAUUGGGCGUAAAGGGUCCGCAGGUGGCACUGUAAGUCUGCUGUCAAAGAAUGAGGCUUAACCUUAUCAAGGCAGUGGAAACUACAGAGCUAGAGUACGGUCGGGGUAGAAGGAAUUCCUGGUGUAGCGGUGAAAUGCGUAGAGAUCAGGAAGAACACCGGUGGCGAAAGCGUUCUGCUAGACCUGUACUGACACUGAGGGACGAAAGCUAGGGGAGCGAAUGGGAUUAGAUACCCGCGUAGUCC
RNAcentral lists this ribosomal RNA (292 nucleotides) under uncultured bacterium. RNAcentral's name for it is "partial 16S ribosomal RNA". It matches the Rfam family "Bacterial small subunit ribosomal RNA", at positions 505 to 796 of the family's 1533-position model. The record is from RNAcentral.